Sabethes cyaneus is the source of this 68-nucleotide small nucleolar RNA. RefSeq annotates it as small nucleolar RNA U18. Lineage: Eukaryota; Metazoa; Arthropoda; Insecta; Diptera; Culicidae. The record is from RefSeq and is a predicted model, not a curated record. The transcript has a single exon.
UAAAUGAUGAUUUCAAUUGGUCCGUGUUGAUGAAUUUAGUUGAUUAUUCAUUCCAAUUGCUGACAACG